GCGCAGCAGUCGCGAAUUUUUCUCAAUGGGGGAAACCCUGAAGGAGCGACGCCGCGUGGAGGAUGAAGGUCUUCGGGUUGUAAACUCCUGUCAUUUGGGAACAAGCGUCGGUAGGUAACUACUACCGGCUUGAUAGUACCAGAAGAGGAAGAGACGGCUAACUCUGUGCCAGCAGCCGCGGUAAUACAGAGGUCUCAAGCGUUGUUCGGAUUCAUUGGGCGUAAAGGGUGCGUAGGUGGCGCCGUAAGUGGGGUGUGAAAUUUCGGAGCUUAACUCCGAAACUGCAUUCCAUACUGCGGUGCUUGAGGACUGGAGAGGAGACUGGAAUUCAUGGUGUAGCAGUGAAAUGCGUAGAGAUCAUGAGGAAGACCAGUGGCGAAGGCGGGUCUCUGGACAGUUCCUGACACUGAUGCACGAAGGCCAGGGGAGCAAACGGGAUUAGAUACCCCUGUAGU
This 455-nucleotide ribosomal RNA is filed under the name uncultured organism. RNAcentral describes it as "bacterial SSU rRNA". It matches the Rfam family "Bacterial small subunit ribosomal RNA", at positions 346 to 794 of the family's 1533-position model. The record is from RNAcentral.